UAGAACAGUUUUGAUAUCUUCCCAGAAAGC
RNAcentral lists this non-coding RNA (30 nucleotides) under Rattus norvegicus (Norway rat). Lineage: Eukaryota; Metazoa; Chordata; Mammalia; Rodentia; Muridae. The record is from RNAcentral.